AUUGAACGCUGGCGGCAUGCCUUACACAUGCAAGCCGAACGGCAGCACGGGAGCAAUCCUGGUGGCGAGUGGCGAACGGGUGAGUAAUAUAUCGGAACGUGCCCAGUCGUGGGGGAUAACGCAGCGAAAGCUGUGCUAAUACCGCAUACGAUCUAUGGAUGAAAGCGGGGGAUCGCAAGACCUCGCGCGAUUGGAGUGGCCGAUAUCAGAUUAGGUAGUUGGUGGGGUAAAGGCUCACCAAGCCGACGAUCUGUAGCUGGUCUGAGAGGACGACCAGCCACACUGGAACUGAGACACGGUCCAGACUCCUACGGGAGGCAGCAGUGGGGAAUUUUGGACAAUGGGCGCAAGCCUGAUCCAGCAAUGCCGCGUGCAGGAUGAAGGCCUUCGGGUUGUAAACUGCUUUUGUACGGAGCGAAACGGUCUACUCUAAUACAGUGGGCUAAUGACGGUACCGUAAGAAUAAGCACCGGCUAACUACGUGCCAGCCGCCACCGUAA
Molecule: ribosomal RNA, 500 nt
Filed under: uncultured bacterium
Lineage: Bacteria
Description: partial 16S ribosomal RNA
Rfam family: Bacterial small subunit ribosomal RNA
Source: RNAcentral